RNAcentral lists this ribosomal RNA (335 nucleotides) under uncultured bacterium. RNAcentral describes it as "bacterial SSU rRNA". It matches the Rfam family "Bacterial small subunit ribosomal RNA", at positions 28 to 362 of the family's 1533-position model. The record is from RNAcentral.
GACGAACGCUGGCGGCGUGCCUAACACAUGCAAGUCAACUUGACUGAAGGAGCAAUCUGACAGUAGAGUGGCGCAAAGGGUGCGUAACGCGUAAGUAACUUGCCCAAGUAAGGAAUAACGUCGAGAAAUACGGCGCUAAUAACCUCAUAAUGCAGCGGAUCCGCAUGGAUAUGUUGUUAAAGGUUUACCGCCUUGGGAUAGGCUUGCGUCUGAUUAGUUAGUUGGUGUGGUAACGGCACACCAAGGCUACGAUCAGUAACUGGUCUGAGAGGAUGAUCAGUCACACUGGAACUGAGACACGGUCCAGACUCCUACGGGAGGCAGCAGUGAGGAAU